RNAcentral lists this transfer RNA (69 nucleotides) under Gammaproteobacteria bacterium. RNAcentral's name for it is "tRNA-Arg". Lineage: Bacteria; Pseudomonadati; Pseudomonadota; Gammaproteobacteria. The record is from RNAcentral.
GCCCCCGGGCUGGUGCCUGCCUCUGCCUUCGUCACGCGGGGGUAGCGGGUUCGAGUCCCGCCGGGGGCU